UUUCCGUAGGUGAACCUGCGGAAGGAUCAUUAUUGUAUAACCGAGGUGCGAGGGCUGUCGCUGACCCGAAAGGUCGUGCACGCCCGAGUGCCCUCACACACAUCCAUCUCACCCCUAUGUGCACCACCGCGUGGGUCCCCCUUUGGCUUGUUCGGAGGGGGGCUUACGUUUUCACACAAACUCUGUAUGCAGAGUAGAAUGUAUUUUUUGUUUUUGCGAUCACGCAAUCAAUACAACUUUCAACAACGGAUCUCUUGGCUCUC
RNAcentral lists this unclassified non-coding RNA (263 nucleotides) under plant metagenome. RNAcentral's name for it is "partial contains small subunit ribosomal RNA, internal transcribed spacer 1, and 5.8S ribosomal RNA". The record is from RNAcentral.